GUAGGUGCGGAGGGCCCCGGGAGGGCGAUCGGGCGACGCGGGGCGGACAGGUGGAGCUGCUGUGGUGACAGCCCGUUCCGGCACCGCGUCCUGCAGCGCGGCCACAUUGUUCCCCGCGCGGGCGAGGGCGCAGCGCGCACAGCCGGUGGCCCCCGAGCGGUGUCCUCCGGGCCGGGCGGGGGCCUCGGAACGCCCGCGGAGGGGAGCAGAGCCGGGGUCCCCAAUUCCUGUUCCCCGCGCCCCUCUCUGGCUUUGCGCCCAGCCGCGGGGUUCCCGGCCAGAGCAGGCGGCUUCCGCUCGCCGGGGCAGCAGAGUGCAAGUGCAUGGGCAUUCUGUAUCUUCAGGAUCCUCAUUGUCUCAUCAGUGAUUCUUUUGGCUGAAUCCUGACUGAAGCCAGAAGACAUGGGUGCCUGGGAAAUGCAGUAUCAAAAUUCAACAUCCUUGAAAUAUAAACCAAAGCAGGGAAGGGCGAAGUAAAUCCC
This 482-nucleotide long non-coding RNA is filed under the name Heterocephalus glaber (naked mole-rat). Its description in RNAcentral is "lncRNA (ENSHGLG00000041531.1)". Lineage: Eukaryota; Metazoa; Chordata; Mammalia; Rodentia; Bathyergidae. The record is from RNAcentral.